GCCGGCAUAGCUCAGUAGGUAGAGCAAUUGGUUCGUAACUAGGAGGUCGCCUGUUCGAUUCAGGCUGUCGGCACCA
Molecule: transfer RNA, 76 nt
Filed under: Thiotrichales bacterium
Lineage: Bacteria; Pseudomonadati; Pseudomonadota; Gammaproteobacteria; Thiotrichales
Description: tRNA-Thr
Rfam family: tRNA
About the family: Transfer RNA (tRNA) molecules are approximately 80 nucleotides in length. Their secondary structure includes four short double-helical elements and three loops (D, anti-codon, and T loops).
Source: RNAcentral